GACGAACGCUGGCGGCGUGCUUAACACAUGCAAGUCGAGCGAUGAAGCUCUUUCGGGAGUGGAUUAGCGGCGGACGGGUGAGCAACACGUGGGUAACCUGCCUCAUAGAGGGGAAUAGCCUUCCGAAAGGAAGAUUAAUACCGCAUAUGGGAGCUUUAUCGCAUGAUAGUGCUAUUAAAGGAGCAAUCCGCUAUGAGAUGGACCCGCGUCGCAUUGGCUAGUUGGUGAGGUAACGGCUCACCAAGGCGACGAUGCGUAGCCGACCUGAGAGGGUGAUCGGCCACAUUGGGACUGAGACACGGCCCAGACUCCUACGGGAGGCAGCAGUGGGGAAUAUUGCACAAUGGGGGAAACCCUGAUGCAGCAACGCCGCGUGAGUGAUGACGGUCUUCGGAUUGUAAAGCUCUGUCUUCAGGGACGAUAAUGACGGUACCUGAGGAGGAAGCCACGGCUAACUACGUGCCAGCCGCCGCCGUAA
This 478-nucleotide ribosomal RNA is filed under the name uncultured bacterium. RNAcentral's name for it is "partial 16S ribosomal RNA". It matches the Rfam family "Bacterial small subunit ribosomal RNA", at positions 28 to 523 of the family's 1533-position model. The record is from RNAcentral.